AGCAGCCGCGGUAAUUCCAGCUCCAAUAGCGUAUAUUAAAGUUGUUGCAGUUAAAAAGCUCGUAGUUGAAUUUCGGGAUCAAUAUUUCGGUCAUGCCGUUGGUAUGCACUGUUAUCAUUGAUUUCUCACCUUCUAAAGAACCGUAAUGCCAUUAAUUUGGUGUUACGGGGAAUUAGGACUGUUACCUUGAAAAAAUUAGAGUGUUUAAAGCAGGCUCACGCUUGAAUACAUUAGCAUGGAAUAAUGAAAUAGGACAUCCGAUUCUAUUUUGUUGGUUUCUAGGAUCGAUGUAAUGAUUAAUAGGGAUAGUUGGGGGCAUUAGUAUUCAAUUGUCAGAGGUGAAAUUCUUGGAUUUAUUGAAGACUAACUACUGCGAAAGCAUUUGCCAAGGAUGUUUUCAUUAAUCAAGAACGAAAGUUAGGGGAUCGAAGACGAUCAGAUACCGUCGUAGUCUUAACCAUAAACUAUGCCGACUAGGGAUCGGAUGAUGUUAAUUUUUAAUGA
RNAcentral lists this small RNA (504 nucleotides) under uncultured Glomus. Its description in RNAcentral is "SSU rRNA". It matches the Rfam family "Eukaryotic small subunit ribosomal RNA", at positions 569 to 1074 of the family's 1831-position model. Lineage: Eukaryota; Fungi; Glomeromycota; Glomeromycetes; Glomerales; Glomeraceae. The record is from RNAcentral.